UAGGGAAUAUUAGUAAUGGGCGAAAGCCUGAACUAGCAACACCGCGUGUGCGAAGAAGGCCUUCGGGUUGUAAAGCACUUUUUGAGAGGAUGAGGAAGGACGGUACUCUCAGAAUAAGUCUCGGCUAACUACGUGCCAGCAGCCGCGGUAACACGUAGGAGGCAAACGUUAUCCGGAUUUACUGGGCGUAAAGCGCGUGUAGGUGGUUUGGUAAGUAGAGCGUGAAAGCUCCUGGCUCAACUGGGAGAGGUCGUUCUAAACUGCCGGACUAGAGGAUGGUAGAGGGAGGUGGAAUUCCAGGUGUAGCGGUGGAAUGCGCAGAUAUCUGGAGGAACACCGGUGGCGAAGGCGGCCUCCUGGACCAUUCCUGACACUCAGACGCGAAAGCUAGGGUAGCAAACG
RNAcentral lists this ribosomal RNA (402 nucleotides) under uncultured prokaryote. Its description in RNAcentral is "bacterial SSU rRNA". It matches the Rfam family "Bacterial small subunit ribosomal RNA", at positions 355 to 774 of the family's 1533-position model. The record is from RNAcentral.